AGAUUGGAAAAAAAAUAAAGUAUAUUUACAGAAAUAUUGCAAAAUUAAUGAAUGUUAGAAGGAUGCUGAAAUGAAGUUAUAUGGCUUUAGCAGAAAUGUUAUAAAGAAUUAAGUAAAAAUAGAUUGUUAAUGGGCCAAAGUGGAAAAUUUAAGGUUAGAUUGUGUUAAGAUAAAUUAUAGAACAAAAAUUGAGAAAGAUGGAAAGGAUUUGCUGAAAUAGCUAAUUGAACUAGAAUACAAAAAAGGGAGGUGUGAGGAGGUCGAUGAAACAGGUAAAUGAAAGAUAAAGAUAUGGAAAUAUUGGAUGUGUUUUUAAAUGUUUUUGUUUUU
Podarcis lilfordi (Lilford's wall lizard) is the source of this 330-nucleotide non-coding RNA. The record is from the annotation of a GenBank genome assembly. Lineage: Eukaryota; Metazoa; Chordata; Lepidosauria; Squamata; Lacertidae.